Molecule: ribosomal RNA, 579 nt
Filed under: Bolma persica
Lineage: Eukaryota; Metazoa; Mollusca; Gastropoda; Trochida; Turbinidae
Description: partial 16S ribosomal RNA
Rfam family: Bacterial large subunit ribosomal RNA
Source: RNAcentral
CGCUCUUUGAGAUAGAUUAUUAAAAGAUUUACUAUAUAUAAGGAGUCGGACCUGCCCAGUGACUAUACUGUUAAACGGCCGCGGUACUCUGACCGUGCAAAGGUAGCAUAAUCAUUUGCCUUUUAAUUGGAGGCUUGUAUGAAUGGUUUGACGAAAACUAAACUGUCUCUUCUUAAAUAUAAAGAAAUUAAUUUUCAGGUGAAGAAGCCUGAUAUAUAACUGAGGGACAAGAAGACCCCGUUGAGCUUUAGUGAUCUAGUUUACUUGUUUUAAUAUAUUAAUGAAAUUAUAAAUUUAUAUAUACAUUAUAAUGUAAAUAUCGUUUUCUAGAAAUCUUUAGUUGGGGCGACUAAGGAACAAAGAAAGCUUCCUUUAAAUACCACAAUAUUUACGGUAAUCAAACCAAAAUAAAUAGAUCCAGCACUUGCUGAUCAAAGGAAAAAGUUACCACGGGGAUAACAGCGUAAUCUUCUUAGAGAGUUCUUAUCGAAGGGAAGGUUUGCGACCUCGAUGUUGGACUAAGAUAUCCUAGGGGUGUAGAAGUUCCUAAUGGUUAGUCUGUUCGACUAUUAAAAUCUU